This 253-nucleotide ribosomal RNA is filed under the name uncultured bacterium. RNAcentral's name for it is "partial 16S ribosomal RNA". It matches the Rfam family "Bacterial small subunit ribosomal RNA", at positions 524 to 776 of the family's 1533-position model. The record is from RNAcentral.
UACGUAGGGUGCAAGCGUUGUCCGGAAUUACUGGGCGUAAAGGGCUCGUAGGCGGCCAACUAAGUCGGAUGUGAAAUCCCCAAGCUUAACUUGGGAACUGCAUCCGAUACUGGAUGGCUUGAAUCCGGGAGAGGGAUGCAGAAUUCCAGGUGUAGCGGUGAAAUGCGCAGAUAUCAUCAAGAACAUCGAUUGCGAAGGCAGCUUACUAAGCUUUAACUGACGCUGAGGCACGAAAGCGUGGGGAUCAAACAGG